This 430-nucleotide ribosomal RNA is filed under the name Bacteroidota bacterium. Its description in RNAcentral is "Bacteroidetes bacterium partial 16S ribosomal RNA". It matches the Rfam family "Bacterial small subunit ribosomal RNA", at positions 355 to 776 of the family's 1533-position model. The record is from RNAcentral. Lineage: Bacteria; Pseudomonadati; Bacteroidota.
UAGGGAAUCUUCGGCAAUGGGGGGAACCCUGACCGAGCAACGCCGCGUGAGUGAAGAAGGUUUUCGGAUCGUAAAGCUCUGUUGUUAAGGAAGAACGAGUGUGAGAAUGGAAAGUUCAUACUGUGACGGUACUUAACCAGAAAGGGACGGCUAACUACGUGCCAGCAGCCGCGGUAAUACGUAGGUGGCAAGCGUUGUCCGGAUUUAUUGGGCGUGAAGCGAGCGCAGGCGGUCAAUUAAGUCUGAUGUGAAAGCCCCCGGCUCAACCGGGGAGGGUCAUUGGAAACUGGUUGACUUGAGUGCAGAAGAGGAGAGUGGAAUUCCAUGUGUAGCGGUGAAAUGCGUAGAUAUAUGGAGGAACACCAGUGGCGAAGGCGACUCUCUGGUCUGUAACUGACGCUGAGGCUCGAAAGCGUGGGUAGCAAACAGG